CUUGCAUAAAUAAAAGGGGUUUUGAUCCCAAAAGACGUCGGAUGCUGAUAUUAACAGGCUGAUGCCUGCUUGCUUGUCAUGCUGGCUCACAUCUUCUUUGUCAGGGUGAGUCUACACAUUAACAACACGUCCUCUAUUAGGUACCACAAUGUUGGACGAGUAUCUUAAAACUGCUGAUGUUACCUUGAGUGCUCGCCUUAUGAUGUUUGUUCUGCAUUGCAGCUGGCAACCGAGACCCGGGACAUUUAUAUGAACAGCUGGUAGCAUAAGAGGUCUUCCAGAUGAUGGCAGCACAAGUCUCUAUUUUUAUACCUUAUUUAUUUACUCAACGUAUACAGGAAGCAGUUGUUUGCUCGUUAGCCUUUAACAUAUUAUCAAGUGACUUGCAGGACUGUUGAUUUAGUAAAGCUCCU
Gasterosteus aculeatus aculeatus (three-spined stickleback) is the source of this 413-nucleotide long non-coding RNA. NCBI's taxonomy places the organism in Eukaryota, Metazoa, Chordata, Actinopteri, Perciformes, Gasterosteidae. The record is from Ensembl.